Molecule: ribosomal RNA, 624 nt
Filed under: Fusarium fujikuroi
Lineage: Eukaryota; Fungi; Ascomycota; Sordariomycetes; Hypocreales; Nectriaceae
Description: partial 5.8S ribosomal RNA
Rfam family: 5.8S ribosomal RNA (bases 155-308)
Source: RNAcentral
UUAAGGCAGUUCUCUGUCAGUCGCCUGUGCAGAUACCAAUUGUAUGCACUCAGGCAGGAUGCAACCCGCUCCCGGUAAAACGGGACGGCCCGCCAGAGGACCCCUAAACUCUGUUUCUAUAUGUAACUUCUGAGUAAAACCAUAAAUAAAUCAAAACUUUCAACAACGGAUCUCUUGGUUCUGGCAUCGAUGAAGAACGCAGCAAAAUGCGAUAAGUAAUGUGAAUUGCAGAAUUCAGUGAAUCAUCGAAUCUUUGAACGCACAUUGCGCCCGCCAGUAUUCUGGCGGGCAUGCCUGUUCGAGCGUCAUUUCAACCCUCAAGCCCCCGGGUUUGGUGUUGGGGAUCGGCGAGCCCUUGCGGCAAGCCGGCCCCGAAAUCUAGUGGCGGUCUCGCUGCAGCUUCCAUUGCGUAGUAGUAAAACCCUCGCAACUGGUACGCGGCGCGGCCAAGCCGUUAAACCCCCAACUUCUGAAUGUUGACCUCGGAUCAGGUAGGAAUACCCGCUGAACUUAAGCAUAUCAUAAAGCCGGAGGAAAGGGACGGGUACCGAGUUUACAACUCCCAAACCCCUGUAAAAAAAAAAAUUGGGUGGCCCCGGGGGGAAAAACCCGGCUCCGGGAAAA